GUUCAGCACUAAGUCACUUUGCCUUUAUGGCAAAUGUGAGAUGCAGUGUAUGGAAUGUCAAAUUUCUAGUAUGAGAAAUUAACGAUUUAAGUCCUUCUUAAAUGAGGCCAUUUACCCAAAGAGGGUGCCAGGCCCGUAUAACGUUAAUGAUUACUAGAUGACAUUUCCAAAGAGUCGUGUUGCUUGAUAGUGCAGCACUAAGUGGGUGGUAAACUCCAUCUAAAACUAAAUAUAACCAUGAGACCGAUAGUAAACAAGUACCGUGAGGGAAAGUUGAAAAGAACUCUGAAUAGAGAGUUAAAUAGUACGUGAAACUGCUUAGAGGUUAAGCCCGAUGAACCUGAAUAUCCAUUAUAGAAAAUUCAUCAUUAUGAAUUUUAAUAUUUUCAAAAUAAUAUUAAAUUAAUGGUGUGCAUUUUUUCUAUAAAGGACAUUGUAAUCUAUUAACAUAUAUAUUAUAUUUAUCAAAAGAUCAAUGAUGCGUAAGUUUAUUCAAAUUAUUUUGCUUGCAAUUUAACAUAGAAUAAAUGCUCUUGAUUUGAUAAAGUGUUGAUAGAUUUUAUUAUAUAUAGUGCUUAAAUAUAUUUAUAUAUUUUAUAAUAUCAUAUUAAUCAUUGAUUUUUAUGUUUAUUAUAUGCACUUAUAUGAUUAACAAUGCGAAAGAUUCAGGAUACCUUCGGGACCCGUCUUGAAACACGGACCAAGGAGUCUAACAUAUUUGCAAGUUAUUGGGAAUAUAAAACCUAAUAGCAAAAUUAACAUAACUUUAUUUUAAAAAUGGGAUUAGUUUUUAAAUUAUUGUAAAAUAGUUUAUUAAUUCAAUGCCCGGGGCGUUCUAUAUAGUUA
Molecule: ribosomal RNA, 846 nt
Filed under: Pterella nigrofasciata
Lineage: Eukaryota; Metazoa; Arthropoda; Insecta; Diptera; Sarcophagidae
Description: eukaryotic LSU rRNA
Rfam family: Eukaryotic large subunit ribosomal RNA
Source: RNAcentral